CACGCCGUAAACGAUGAUCACUCGCUGUAUGCGAUACACAGUAUGCGGCCAAGCGAAAGCAUUAAGUGAUCCACCUGGGGAGUACGAUCGCAAGGUUGAAACUCAAAGGAAUUGACGGGGGCCCGCACAAGCGGAGGAACAUGUGGUUUAAUUCGAUGAUACGCGAGGAACCUUACCUGGGCUUAAAUGUAGAGCGACAGAUUGUGAAAGCAGUCCUUCUCCGGACGAUCUACAAGGUGCUGCAUGGUUGUCGUCAGCUCGUGCCGUGAGGUGUCGGGUUAAGUCCCAUAACGAGCGCAACCCUUAUCGUUAGUUGCCAGCGGGUCAAGCCGGGGACUCUAGCGAGACUGCCACCGUAAGGUGU
This 364-nucleotide ribosomal RNA is filed under the name uncultured bacterium. RNAcentral describes it as "bacterial SSU rRNA". It matches the Rfam family "Bacterial small subunit ribosomal RNA", at positions 796 to 1166 of the family's 1533-position model. The record is from RNAcentral.